AUUCAAGGACAAUUUUAAAUCACCUUACUCUAUUUAAUUUUACUUCAUUCAAGGACUGUUGUAAAUCUUUUAAACAUCUCACCUGCUCGUGAGUCUAUUUUAAUUUA
Molecule: long non-coding RNA, 107 nt
Organism: Octopus sinensis (East Asian common octopus)
Lineage: Eukaryota; Metazoa; Mollusca; Cephalopoda; Octopoda; Octopodidae
Exons: 3
Source: RefSeq, a predicted model, not a curated record